Molecule: non-coding RNA, 22 nt
Filed under: Arabidopsis thaliana (thale cress)
Lineage: Eukaryota; Viridiplantae; Streptophyta; Magnoliopsida; Brassicales; Brassicaceae
Source: RNAcentral
UGCUUAUCUAUAUCAGGUCGGG